GCCGCCAUGGUGAAAUUGGUAGACACGCUGCUCUUAGGAAGCAGUGCUCAAGUAUCUCGGUUCGAAUCCGAGUGGCGGCA
Molecule: transfer RNA, 80 nt
Filed under: Hordeum vulgare
Lineage: Eukaryota; Viridiplantae; Streptophyta; Magnoliopsida; Poales; Poaceae
Also listed under: 1 other name
Description: tRNA-Leu
Rfam family: tRNA
About the family: Transfer RNA (tRNA) molecules are approximately 80 nucleotides in length. Their secondary structure includes four short double-helical elements and three loops (D, anti-codon, and T loops). Further hydrogen bonds mediate the characteristic L-shaped molecular structure. tRNAs have two regions of fundamental functional importance: the anti-codon, which is responsible for specific mRNA codon recognition, and the 3' end, to which the tRNAs corresponding amino acid is attached (by aminoacyl-tRNA synthetases). tRNAs cope with the degeneracy of the genetic code in two manners: having more than one tRNA (with a specific anti-codon) for a particular amino acid; and 'wobble' base-pairing, i.e. permitting non-standard base-pairing at the 3rd anti-codon position.
Source: RNAcentral